ACGGGAGGCAGCAGUGGGGAAUAUUGCACAAUGGGCGAAAGCCUGAUGCAGCGACGCCGCGUGAACGAUGAAGUAUUUCGGUAUGUAAAGUUCUAUCAGCAGGGAAGAUAAUGACGGUACCUGACUAAGAAGCACCGGCUAAAUACGUGCCAGCAGCCGCGGUAAUACGUAUGGUGCAAGCGUUAUCCGGAUUUACUGGGUGUAAAGGGAGCGUAGGCGGCUUUGCAAGUCUGAUGUGAAAGCCCGGGGCUCAACUCCGGUAUUGCAUUGGAAACUGUAGAGCUAGAGUGUAGGAGGGGUAAGUGGAAUUCCUAGUGUAGCGGUGAAAUGCGUAGAUAUUAGGAGGAACACCAGUGGCGAAGGCGGCUUACUGGACGAUUACUGACGCUGAGGCUCGAAAGCGUGGGGAGCAAACAGGAUUAGAUACCCUGGUA
Molecule: ribosomal RNA, 434 nt
Filed under: uncultured Lachnospiraceae bacterium
Lineage: Bacteria; Bacillati; Bacillota; Clostridia; Lachnospirales; Lachnospiraceae
Description: partial 16S ribosomal RNA
Rfam family: Bacterial small subunit ribosomal RNA
Source: RNAcentral